GUACUUGCUUCGGCAGCACACACACUACAAUUGGAACAAUACAGAGUAGAUUAGCAUGGCUCCUGCGCAAGGAUGACCUGCAAAUUCGUGAAGCGUUCCAUUUUUUU
Small nuclear RNA from Otolemur garnettii (small-eared galago), 107 nucleotides. The record is from Ensembl. NCBI's taxonomy places the organism in Eukaryota, Metazoa, Chordata, Mammalia, Primates, Galagidae.